GACGAACGCUGGCGGCGUGCUUAACACAUGCAAGUCGAACGGAAAGGCCUCUUUCGGGGGGUACUCGAGUGGCGAACGGGUGAGUAACACGUGAGUAACCUGCCCUUGACUUUGGGAUAACUUCAGGAAACUGGGGCUAAUACCGGAUAGGAGCUCCUGCUGCAGGGUGGGGGUUGGAAAGUUUCGGCGGUUGGGGAUGGACUCGCGGCUUAUCAGCUUGUUGGUGGGGUAGUGGCUUACCAAGGCUUUGACGGGUAGCCGGACUGAGAGGGUGACCGGCCACAUUGGGACUGAGAUACGGCCCAGACUCCUACGGGAGGAAGCAGUGGGGAAUAUUGCACAAUGGGUGGAAGCCUGAUGCAGCAACGCCGUGUGCGGGAUGACGGCCUUCGGGUUGUAAACCGCUUUCGCUCAUGACGAAGCUUUGUGUGACGGUAGUGGGUAAAGAAGCACCGGCUAACUACGUG
RNAcentral lists this ribosomal RNA (467 nucleotides) under uncultured bacterium. RNAcentral describes it as "partial 16S ribosomal RNA". It matches the Rfam family "Bacterial small subunit ribosomal RNA", at positions 28 to 507 of the family's 1533-position model. The record is from RNAcentral.